RNAcentral lists this microRNA precursor (66 nucleotides) under Eptatretus burgeri (inshore hagfish). RNAcentral's name for it is "Ebu-Mir-135-P9_pre stem-loop". Lineage: Eukaryota; Metazoa; Chordata; Myxini; Myxiniformes; Myxinidae. The record is from RNAcentral.
UAUGGCUUUUUAUUCCUACGUGAUGAGCAGAACUUGCAAGCCCCACGUAGGGGAGGAAGCCAUGGA